RNAcentral lists this ribosomal RNA (450 nucleotides) under uncultured bacterium. RNAcentral's name for it is "SSU rRNA". It matches the Rfam family "Bacterial small subunit ribosomal RNA", at positions 26 to 518 of the family's 1533-position model. The record is from RNAcentral.
AGGAUGAACGCUGGCGGCGUGCCUAAAACAUGCAAGUCAUACGGUCUACCUUCGGGUAGACAGUGGCAAACGGGUGAGUAACACGUGGGAACACGCCUUCGAGUGGGGAAUAACGCUGAGAAAUCAGUGCUAAUACCGCAUAUGGUCUAACGACUAAAGCAGUAAUGCGCUCGGAGAGUGGCCCGCGUCCGAUUAGCUAGUUGGUGGGGUAAUGGCCUACCAAGGCGGUGAUCGGUAGCUGGUCUGAGAGGAUGGUCAGCCACACUGGGACUGCGAACGGCCCAGACUCCUACGGGAGGCAGCAGUUAGGAAUUUUCGGCAAUGGACGAAAGUCUGACCGAGCGACGCCGCGUGGAGACGAAGCCUUUCGGGGUGUAAACUCCUUUUCUGCGGGAAGAUAAUGACGGUACCGCAGGAAUAAGCACCGGCUAACUACGUGCCAGCAGCCGC